CACGUAGGCGGGUCGUUAAGUCGGGGUGAAAUCCCAGAGCUCAACUCUGGAAAUGCCUUCGAUACUGGCGAUCUUCGAGUCCGGGAGAGGUGAGUGGAACUCCGAGUGUAGAGGUGAAAUUCGUAGAUAUUCGGAAGAACACCAGUGGCGAAGGCGGCUCACUGGCCCGGUACUGACGCUGAGGUGCGAAAGCGUGGGGAGCAAACA
Molecule: ribosomal RNA, 207 nt
Filed under: uncultured bacterium
Lineage: Bacteria
Description: partial 16S ribosomal RNA
Rfam family: Bacterial small subunit ribosomal RNA
Source: RNAcentral